RNAcentral lists this ribosomal RNA (401 nucleotides) under uncultured bacterium. RNAcentral describes it as "bacterial SSU rRNA". It matches the Rfam family "Bacterial small subunit ribosomal RNA", at positions 29 to 416 of the family's 1533-position model. The record is from RNAcentral.
AAUCAACGCUGGCGGCGUGCCUAACACAUGCAAGUCGAACGCGAAAGUCCCGCAAGGGAUCAGUAGAGUGGCGAACGGGUGAGUAACACGUGGGUGACCUGCCUUCGAGUGGGGGAUAACGUCCCGAAAGGGACGCUAAUACCGCAUGACAUCCUGCUCUUGAACGAGUGGAGAUCAAAGCUGGGGAUCGCAAGACCUAGCGCUCAAAGAGGGGCCCGCGCCUGAUUAGCUAGUUGGUGGGGUAACGGCUCACCAAGGCAACGAUCAGUAUCCGGCCUGAGAGGGCGGACGGACACACUGGGACUGAGACACGGCCCAGACUCCUACGGGAGGCAGCAGUGGGGAAUUGUUCGCAAUGGGCGCAAGCCUGACGACGCAACGCCGCGUGGAGGAUGAAGACC